RNAcentral lists this ribosomal RNA (1001 nucleotides) under uncultured archaeon. RNAcentral describes it as "bacterial SSU rRNA". It matches the Rfam family "Archaeal small subunit ribosomal RNA", at positions 45 to 1054 of the family's 1478-position model. The record is from RNAcentral.
UAAGCCAUGCGAGUCGAGAGGUUCAAGACCUCGGCGUACUGCUCAGUAACACGUGGACAAUCUGCCCUGAAGUGGAGAAUAAUCCCGGGAAACUGGGGGUAAUACUCCAUAGUUCGUUAUUACUGGAAUGUUUUUCGAACGAAAGAUCCGUCGCUUCAGGAUGAGUCUGCGGCCGAUUAGGUAGUUGUUGGGGUAAUUGCCCAACAAGCCUGUAAUCGGUACGGGUUGUGGGAGCAAGAGCCCGGAGAUGGAUUCUGAGACACGAAUCCAGGCCCUACGGGGCGCAGCAGGCGCGAAAACUUUACCAUGCGGGCAACCGUGAUAAGGGAACCUCGAGUGCCUGUAAAUGCAGGCUGUUCAGAUGCCUAAAACACAUCUGGAGAAAGGGCCGGGCAAGACCGGUGCCAGCCGCCGCGGUAAUACCGGCGGCUCGAGUGGUGGCCACUUUUAUUGGGCUUAAAGCGUUCGUAGCUGGGUUGUUAAGUCUCUUGGGAAAUCUGGCGGCUUAACCGUCAGGCGUCUAAGGGAUACUGGCAAUCUUGGAACCGGGAGAGGUGAGGGGUACUUCGGGGGUAGGAGUGAAAUCCUGUAAUCCUCGAGGGACCACCUGUGGCGAAGGCGCCUCACCAGAACGGCUUCGACAGUGAGGGACGAAAGCUGGGGGAGCGAACCGGAUUAGAUACCCGGGUAGUCCCAGCCGUAAACUAUGCGCGUUAGGUGUAUCGGUGACCACGAGUUACCGAGGUGCCGAAGGGAAACCGUGAAACGUGCCGCCUGGGAAGUACGGUCGCAAGGCUGAAACUUAAAGGAAUUGGCGGGGGAGCACCACAACAGGUGGAGCCUGCGGUUUAAUUGGACUCAACGCCGGGAAGCUCACCGGAUAGGACAGCAGAAUGAUUGCCGGGCUGAAGACCCUGCAUGACUAGCUGAGAGGAGGUGCAUGGCCGUCGUCAGUUCGUACUGUGAAGCAUCCUGUUAAGUCAGGCAACGAGCGAGACCCA